Bufo gargarizans (Asiatic toad) is the source of this 269-nucleotide long non-coding RNA. RefSeq lists it as uncharacterized. The record is from RefSeq and is a predicted model, not a curated record. Lineage: Eukaryota; Metazoa; Chordata; Amphibia; Anura; Bufonidae. The transcript is spliced from 3 exons.
ACAUGUUCCAUGCUCUUACUACGAUGCAUGGGCAGGAAGAAAUUCCUGCACAAGGGUUUGUACCAGGCCUGCUGGGAACAUCAGAUGGAGCCCUGCAGUUCAUGGCCUACAAGAAACUGAAAUGGACUUUACAAGCAUUUCCAUCGACCCAGUGACACAAAACCGGAAAGAAGAGUUCCAUGGAGUCUACUAGAGCAAUGUCUUCAGCAUUAUCCCAGUGACCUCCGCCGGCGGAAUCACCUUAGUAGCUUCAAUUCUACUUUCAUUUU